GGAUGGGAUGCAAUUGAGGGAAGCUGAACCCACAGGAGUGUCACUGAGAACACAGGUGCAGAUGCCAAUGCAUGGUGAGUUUUCAUUUUUGCAUCGCAAUUGUGUUCUCAGGUCACCCCUUUGGGUUGCUUCCCUUGAUUCCAUGGCCAGGUUAUGUGUCAUG
Brachypodium distachyon (stiff brome) is the source of this 163-nucleotide non-coding RNA. RefSeq annotates it as microRNA MIR398b. The transcript has a single exon. The record is from RefSeq and is marked provisional. NCBI's taxonomy places the organism in Eukaryota, Viridiplantae, Streptophyta, Magnoliopsida, Poales, Poaceae.